AAUUUUAUGGUUUCUUUGUCCUUUUCUUAGAUUAAGUCACCAUUCCUCUCAUUCCUUUUUUAUCAGUUGAGGAGUGGGCUAGAGAUUCGCAUUUCCUAUAGUAAACAAAGUCUGUGGGGAAUGCACAUUUCCUAUAAUAAAACAAGUCCUGUGGAGGUGUUACUCCCUGGAGCCCUUAAGCCACUAAUGUUAAUCAAAAUCCAUAUCAAAAAAAUGUAUUGGAGCCCAGGUUCCUACACUGACUGAGUUAAUAUUCUGUCUCAUAAAGACUAGACCAAUUGCAAGCUUGCAACAGUGGUUUUUUGCUAUGUAAACCAUAGGUGAAUAACUUGGCCCAUUACCCCUCAAUUUCCACAUCUUAAAAAGAGGAUAAAAGCUUAUGAUGGAGCAUGAUAAUGUGAGAAAAAAAAAGUAUACAUGUAUGUGUAACUGGGUCACCAUGCUGUACAGCAAAAAAAAAAAAAAAUUUAUUGGGGAAAUAACAAUUAAAACAAACUAUUCCUACUACCUAGGGAUGGCUUGAGUUUUAAAUGAGAUAAUUUAUGUAAACUAUUUAGAUGAGUUCUUCAGAAAUUUGAAGAAUUUUCUAAGUAUCAGCAGUUAUUAUCAUCAUCACUUCAUCUGGGGAAUCCCGAAUGUUUCAUCUACUCUCUUUUGUAGCCUUUAAAAUUAUCUUCCUGACAACAAUGUUGGACAUUUGAACCUUUGAUCCCUGGUGUUCUUAUCUACCAUCCAUGUGACUUGAUGGGGACACUGAUCUGAACCACAUUGCUGCUCUGUUCCAGCUCUGAUGUCACCUGCUGUUUGAUACCUGCUGUUUGAUACCUGCUGUUUGUCCCCUCUGAAAUUUCUAUCUGAGGGAAAGGAUGUCCCUACUCCCACUAGCCUUAAGAGUCUGCAUGGACUUCCUCAUCUUCAAAAUGGAAUCAAUCCACAUCUUGUUUUCUGACUAUUUGGUGCCCUUCUCAUGGAGACUGAAUGAAGAAUGCUUUGCAAAUAUCAUUGUGAACUGUAAGUAGUUUCAUGACUAUGAUGUGAUCAUUGAGGUCUCUGUGGCAGGUGAGGGAAUGCAUGCUGAUAUAAUACUUUUGACUGGUUUCUUCCUCAGUUGAAUGACUCUACACAGGAUUUUAACCUCAAGUUAAACCACGGGUUCCACACUGGUGUGUUCAUUUUCUGGUCUUUGUAUACAUAAAACGAAGGCUUUACCUUAAUCUAUAUACAAAAAAAAAAAAAAAAAAGAAAAAAAAAGAAAGAAGGAAAGAAAGGAAGGAAGGAAUAAAAAGGGGGAAAGGGAGGAAGGAAAGAAAAAA
Molecule: long non-coding RNA, 1313 nt
Filed under: Sus scrofa (pig)
Lineage: Eukaryota; Metazoa; Chordata; Mammalia; Artiodactyla; Suidae
Description: lncRNA (ENSSSCG00055018322.1)
Source: RNAcentral